GUUUUAAUAAUUUAACAAAAAUAUUGGUCUUGUAAACCAAAAAUAAGGACAAGCCUUUUAAAACU
RNAcentral lists this transfer RNA (65 nucleotides) under Coptotermes sepangensis. RNAcentral describes it as "tRNA-Thr". It matches the Rfam family "tRNA". Rfam says of the family: Transfer RNA (tRNA) molecules are approximately 80 nucleotides in length. The record is from RNAcentral. Lineage: Eukaryota; Metazoa; Arthropoda; Insecta; Blattodea; Rhinotermitidae.